AUACGGAGGGUGCAAGCGUUACUCGGAAUCACUGGGCGUAAAGCGCGCGCAGGCGACCAUUUAAGUUGGAUGUGAAAGCCUACGGCUCAACCGUAGAACUGCAUCCAAAACUAUUUGGCUCGAGUGUGGGAGAGGAAGAUGGAAUUAGUUGUGUAGGGGUAAAAUCCGUAGAGAUAACUAGGAAUACCAAAAGCGAAGGCAAUCUUCUGGAACAUUACUGACGCUGAGGCGCGAAAGCGUGGGGAGCAAACAGGAUUAGAAACCCUAGUAGUCC
Molecule: ribosomal RNA, 274 nt
Filed under: uncultured bacterium
Lineage: Bacteria
Description: partial 16S ribosomal RNA
Rfam family: Bacterial small subunit ribosomal RNA
Source: RNAcentral